Molecule: transfer RNA, 70 nt
Filed under: Dipodomys ordii (Ord's kangaroo rat)
Lineage: Eukaryota; Metazoa; Chordata; Mammalia; Rodentia; Heteromyidae
Rfam family: tRNA
About the family: Transfer RNA (tRNA) molecules are approximately 80 nucleotides in length. Their secondary structure includes four short double-helical elements and three loops (D, anti-codon, and T loops).
Source: Rfam by way of RNAcentral
GGGAAUAUGGCUUAGUGGCAGAGUGCUUGCCUAGUAUGUAUGAGGACCUGGGUUCAAUUCCUCAGUACCA